UACGUAGGGGGCUAGCGUUGUCCGGAAUCAUUGGGCGUAAAGCGCGUGUAGGCGGCCCGGUAAGUCCGCUGUGAAAGUCGGGGGCUCAACCCUCGAAAGCCGGUGGAUACUGUCGAGCUAGAGUGCGGGAGAGGCGAGUGGAAUUCCUGGUGUAGCGGUGAAAUGCGCAGAUAUCAGGAGGAACACCGAUUGCGAAGGCAGCUCGCUGGAACGUAACUGACGCUGAGACGCGAAAGCGUGGGGAGCAAACAGG
Molecule: ribosomal RNA, 253 nt
Filed under: uncultured bacterium
Lineage: Bacteria
Description: partial 16S ribosomal RNA
Rfam family: Bacterial small subunit ribosomal RNA
Source: RNAcentral